UACGAAGGGGGCUAGCGUUGUUCGGAAUUACUGGGCGUAAAGCGCGCGCAGGCGGCUAUCCAAGUCAGUGGUGAAAGCCCGGAGCUCAACUCCGGAACUGCCAUUGAAACUGUUUAGCUUGAGGACGAGAGAGGUGAGUGGAAUUCCCAGUGUAGAGGUGAAAUUCGUAGAUAUUGGGAAGAACACCAGUGGCGAAGGCGGCUCACUGGCUCGUAUCUGACGCUCAGGCGCGAUAGCGUGGGGAUCAAACAGG
This 253-nucleotide ribosomal RNA is filed under the name uncultured bacterium. Its description in RNAcentral is "partial 16S ribosomal RNA". It matches the Rfam family "Bacterial small subunit ribosomal RNA", at positions 524 to 776 of the family's 1533-position model. The record is from RNAcentral.